GUCGAGCGGACAGAUGGGAGCUUGCUCCCUGAUGUUAGCGGCGGACGGGUGAGUAACACGUGGGUAACCUGCCUGUAAGACUGGGAUAACUCCGGGAAACCGGGGCUAAUACCGGAUGGUUGUUUGAACCGCAUGGUUCAAACAUAAAAGGUGGCUUCGGCUACCACUUACAGAUGGACCCGCGGCGCAUUAGCUAGUUGGUGAGGUAACGGCUCACCAAGGCAACGAUGCGUAGCCGACCUGAGAGGGUGAUCGGCCACACUGGGACUGAGACACGGCCCAGACUCCUACGGGAGGCAGCAGUAGGGAAUCUUCCGCAAUGGACGAAAGUCUGACGGAGCAACGCCGCGUGAGUGAUGAAGGUUUUCGGAUCGUAAAGCUCUGUUGUUAGGGAAGAACAAGUACCGUUCGAANAGGGCGGUACCUUGACGGUACCUAACCAGAAAGCCACGGCUAACUACGUGCCAGCAGCCGCGGUAAUACGUAGGUGGCAAGCGUUGUCCGGAAUUAUUGUNCGUAAAGGGCUCGCAGGCGGUUUCUUAAGUCUGAUGUGAAAUCCCCCGGCUCAAUC
Molecule: ribosomal RNA, 571 nt
Filed under: Bacillus subtilis subsp. subtilis
Lineage: Bacteria; Bacillati; Bacillota; Bacilli; Caryophanales; Bacillaceae
Description: bacterial SSU rRNA
Rfam family: Bacterial small subunit ribosomal RNA
Source: RNAcentral